RNAcentral lists this transfer RNA (68 nucleotides) under Marmota monax (woodchuck). RNAcentral describes it as "tRNA.Ala". The record is from RNAcentral. Lineage: Eukaryota; Metazoa; Chordata; Mammalia; Rodentia; Sciuridae.
GGGCGUGGCUCAGUGGCAGAGCCUCGCCUCGCAUGUGUGAGGCGCUGGGUUCGAUCCCCAGCACCACA